Long non-coding RNA from Phascolarctos cinereus (koala), 1238 nucleotides. RefSeq lists it as uncharacterized. Lineage: Eukaryota; Metazoa; Chordata; Mammalia; Diprotodontia; Phascolarctidae. The record is from RefSeq and is a predicted model, not a curated record.
UGAAAGAGGGAGGCCAUUGAACUGGGGAAUGGGUUGAAGGAACGCAGUUUUCUCUAUUUUAAGAUAGUUAAGGUCCCUGUUCGUGAUCACAGGAGAACGGGGUCAUCCUGACUGACUUGGGAAGGUUCCUUGGCUUUGAAGUCUCCUACACUCCCUGAGGCCCUGAAGACCCCUGCUGGCAGUUCCUCCUUCCCUUUCUCAGGCUACUUUCCUGGCCUUCAAACCCUGACCUCUCCCCAGUGCCACCCUGUUGGAGCUCACAAAGCACAGGAUGUAGGAUGAAGGUAAAGAGAACCAGGGCCAGUAGGAGUUUACCAGAGGCUACUAGAAGCAUUUUGUUUUUCAAACGCUCAGGCUCUACUUGUUGGCAAAUCCAUUCCCAGUUGCCCUAACACAGAGCCUCUCAAGUCAUCUCAGCUGUCGAUACGCCAUCACCCAAUGGUAACUAGCUGAGAGCAUUGCAGGCUGUCUACAGGAAAUCUUACAAGCCAUAAAGAGGCCUACAAUGGACAAAGAGAUUGGUAUAGUGACUGAUAGUGAUUUCAAGAGAACAUGAUGGUGAAGUAUGUCUCCCUUUGCAGAGAUGUGGUGAAUAAAAAUUACAGAGACUCACCAGAGGAAGAAGGUUCUGGGAACAUCUGUUAGAUCAGAUCUCUGGUAGCAGGGAUGAUGGAUCAAUCUCCAAGAAGCCCCAAAUGGAGCAUGGGGUCCCCAUGAAGACACCAAAUAGUCAUCUGUUCAUCAUAUGUAAUGCUCCCUAGGUCAGUGAGGCAAGGUUGUUUCCCUUCCUCCUUUGUUCUGUGCAGUUAGUGGGAACAUAAAUCAACAGAUUUUGCUAUUACUAAUUAAUAGGAAGUGAGAUCUAUCUAAGGAAGAGAAGCAAUAUAUAUUAUAAUCCAGUCCUUUGUCCCAAAUAAGACAAAGGGUGCUAAAUGGUAGGCACCAAUUAAUCUGUUUCCAGACUAAGUACAUGAUUGACUCUUUUCUGAUAUAGCUUUGUACAAAAUGUCUUCAGAAUGAUGGCAGAGCCAAGGGAAAGCUGUAGAUAAGACCUUAACCUUCCAGGUAGAAAGGAGAGGGAGGAGCUUGAGUCCAGAGAAGCAGGGACUUAAGCAGAAAAGCAAAGCUUGAGGCAUGAGUACUUGAUUGUAACGGGUAUCUGCAAUGUGGCUCUUCUCAACGAUACAAUGAUCCAAGACAAUCCCAAAGGACUCAUGGUGGAAAAUGCUAUCCACAUC